AUCUUAUGAUUCUUCCGUGGCGACACUUAUGGAAGCCUUUGCAGCCCCGCAAGGGGUGGGGAGCACGACUGUAAAUAAGUCUCCCUUCAUGCAAGUCAGCACCCGCUGGCAACACGAUCGAAUUGACGGGGACGUCCUAAAGCCUACAACACCAACCUACCCGGGAAACCGAGGUAGGGGCCCGUGCUAACUACACGGGGUGGUAAAAGAAUGUAUGGAUACUCCCUCCGGGGAACUAUGGAUAAUCCGCAGCGAAGACCCUAAGUAGCGCUAGCUAUAUGGGUAACGUUCACAGACUAAGUGGUUGUGGGUGGAGCCUAGCUCUGCUUAAGAUAUAGUCGGGCCCUGCGUGAAAGCGUGGGGGUGAGUCGCUACGAACUCGAACCGUUCCGUAGGUGAACCUGCGGAAGGAUCAUU
RNAcentral lists this non-coding RNA (417 nucleotides) under Pseudogymnoascus sp. BL606. RNAcentral describes it as "partial 18S ribosomal RNA". The stretch from base 63 to 362 matches the Rfam family "Group I catalytic intron". Rfam says of the family: Group I catalytic introns are large self-splicing ribozymes. They catalyse their own excision from mRNA, tRNA and rRNA precursors in a wide range of organisms. Lineage: Eukaryota; Fungi; Ascomycota; Leotiomycetes; Thelebolales; Thelebolaceae. The record is from RNAcentral.